UUGAAGAGUUUGAUCAUGGCUCAGAUUGAACGCUGGCGGCAAGCCUAACACAUGCAAGUCGAGCGGCAUCGGAAAAAAGUUUACUUUUUUGCCGGCGAGCGGCGUACGGGUGAGUAUAAUCUGGGGAUCUACCCAAUGGAAGGGGAUAACUGUUGGAAACGAUAGCUAAUACCCUAUAAUGUCGUUUAGACCAAAGUGGGGGACUUUUUUAAGCCUCAUACCAUAGGAUGAACUCAGACGAGAUUAGCUAGUAGGUAGGGUAAAAGCCUACCUAGGCGACGAUCUCUAGCUGGUCUGAGAGGAUGAUCAGCCACACUGGAACUGAGACACGGUCCAGACUCCUACGGGAGGCAGCAGUGGGGAAUAUUGCACAAUGGGGGAAACCCUGAUGCUGCUAUGCCGCGUGUGUGAAGAAGGCCUUAGGGUUGUAAAGCACUUUCAGCGGGGAAGAAUUAAAUAUUGUUAAAACCAAUAUUUAUUGACGUUACCCGAAAAAGAAGCACCGGCUAACUCCGUGCCAGCAGCCGCGGUAAUACGGAGGGUGCAAGCGUUAAUCGGAAUUACUGGGCGUAAAGAGUACGUAGGUGGUUUAUUAAGUCAGAUGUGAAAGCCCCAAGCUUAACUUGGGAAUUGCAUUUGAAACUAAUAUACUAGAGUUUAGUAGAGGAGUGUAGAAUUCCAGGUGUAGCGGUGAAAUGCGUAGAGAUCUGGAGGAAUACCAGUGGCGAAGGCGACACUCUGGACUAAUACUGACACUAAGGUACGAAAGCAUGGGGAGCAAACAGGAUUAGAUACCCUGGUAGUCCAUGCUGUAAACGAUGUCAAUUUGAAGGUUGCGACUUUUUGUUGUGGCUUUCGUAGCUAACGCGUUAAAUUGACCGCCUGGGGAGUACGACCGCAAGGUUAAAACUCAAAUGAAUUGACGGGGGCCCGCACAAGCGGUGGAGCAUGUGGUUUAAUUCGAUGCAACGCGAAGAACCUUACCUACUCUUGACAUCCAGAGAAACAAGCAGAGAUGCAUGUGGCCUUCGGGAACUCUGAGACAGGUGCUGCAUGGCUGUCGUCAGCUCGUGUUGUGAAAUGUUGGGUUAAGUCCCGCAACGAGCGCAACCCUUAUCCUUUGUUGCCAUCGAUUCGGUCGGGAACUCAAAGGAGACUGCCGGUGAUAAACCGGAGGAAGGUGAGGAUGACGUCAAGUCAUCAUGGCCCUUACGAGUAGGGCUACACACGUGCUACAAUGGUAUAUACAAAGAGAAGCAAAUUCGCAAGGACUAGCAAAACUCAUAAAAUAUAUCGUAGUCCGGAUUGGAGUCUGCAAUUCGACUCCAUGAAGUCGGAAUCGCUAGUAAUCGUGGAUCAGAAUGCCACGGUGAAUACGUUCCCGGGCCUUGUACACACCGCCCGUCACACCAUGGAAGUGAGUUGCAAAAGAAGUGAGUAGCUUAACCUUUUUUUUUUGGAGGGCGCUUACCACUUUGUGAUUCAUGACUGGGGUGAAGUCGUAACAAGGUAACCGUAGGGGAACCUGCGGUUGGAUCACCUCCUU
RNAcentral lists this ribosomal RNA (1546 nucleotides) under uncultured Sodalis sp. Its description in RNAcentral is "bacterial SSU rRNA". It matches the Rfam family "Bacterial small subunit ribosomal RNA". Lineage: Bacteria; Pseudomonadati; Pseudomonadota; Gammaproteobacteria; Enterobacterales; Bruguierivoracaceae. The record is from RNAcentral.